This 348-nucleotide ribosomal RNA is filed under the name uncultured bacterium. RNAcentral describes it as "bacterial SSU rRNA". The stretch from base 41 to 348 matches the Rfam family "Bacterial small subunit ribosomal RNA", at positions 1 to 305 of the family's 1533-position model. The record is from RNAcentral.
UCUACCGACUGCCCGNGUNAUCCUCUNAUUUAGCCGUUGNAUUNUAUAGAGAUCUCACACUGGCCGCUCGUUGUGACAGCCUAACACAUGCAAGUCGAACGGUAACAGGAAGCAGCUUGCUGCUUCGCUGACGAGUAGGCGGACGGGUGAGUAAUGUCUGGGAGACUGCCUGAUGGAGGGGGAUAACUACUAGGAAACGGUAGCUAAUACCGCAUAACGUACGCAAGACCAAGAGGGGGACCUUCGGGCCUCUUGCCAUACGGAUAGUAGCCCAGAUAGGGAUAUAGCUAGUAGGUAGGGGUAAACGGCUACACCUAGCGACACCCUAACAGGCAGAAGAUAGACCAC